AGCUCACACAAGACUAAGCUACAGUUUAUCCACUUUGAGAUGAUGCAGGAUGUUCCUUAGUUUUUGGUGAAGUAUUAGGAAUUUGCUAACUUCCUUCUGAUCUUCUUCCCACCCCCUCUUUGGCCAAUAUCUCUUUGGUUAAUCUAGGUGCCAAAUUUGACAUUCGUUGGGGACAUGGGAAUUCAAAUGUUGGGAAUCCCUCAAGUUA
Molecule: unclassified non-coding RNA, 208 nt
Filed under: Hevea brasiliensis (rubber tree)
Lineage: Eukaryota; Viridiplantae; Streptophyta; Magnoliopsida; Malpighiales; Euphorbiaceae
Source: RNAcentral